GAUCAAGUGUCUUAAGGGCAUUUGGUGGAUGCCUUGGCAUGCACAGGCGAUGAAGGACGUGAUACGCUGCGAUAAGCGUCGGGGAGGUGCGAAUACCCUUUGAUCCGACGAUUUCCGAAUGGGGCAACCCACCUUAGAUAGCUAGAAAAUUUGAAUUGUUGGCGCUUAUGCAAGAACAGUUCAACUUUCUAGUUAUCGUAAUAAGGUAUCUACACCUGAAUACAUAGGGUGUUAGAAGCGAACCUGGGGAACUGAAACAUCUAAGUACCCAGAGGAAAGGACAUCAAACGAGACUCCGCUAGUAGUGGCGAGCGAACGCGGACCAGGCCAGUGGCAAUAGGGAAUAAAGUGGAAGAACCUGGAAAGGUUUGCCGAAGUGGG
Molecule: ribosomal RNA, 381 nt
Filed under: Brucella anthropi
Lineage: Bacteria; Pseudomonadati; Pseudomonadota; Alphaproteobacteria; Hyphomicrobiales; Brucellaceae
Description: Ochrobactrum anthropi (marine sediment metagenome) partial 23S ribosomal RNA
Rfam family: Bacterial large subunit ribosomal RNA
Source: RNAcentral